This 242-nucleotide long non-coding RNA is filed under the name Lathyrus oleraceus (garden pea). Its description in RNAcentral is "Pisum sativum (pea) long non-coding RNA (PSAT_LNC029753)". Lineage: Eukaryota; Viridiplantae; Streptophyta; Magnoliopsida; Fabales; Fabaceae. The record is from RNAcentral.
UGUUGUUGUAUUUUGUUGAGGUACAUAGUUGUAUUUUGUUGAGGUGUGUUUUUUUUUAGAUUUUUGUUGAUGUUUUUGUUGAGGUAUGUUGAUAAAUGUUGUUUUUUGUGUUAUUGUAUUAUGUGUUUGAAUAUGUAUGUUGUUUGAGGUAUGUAUGUUGUUGUAUUUUAUUGAGGUAUGUUGUUUGUUUUAUUUUAGAUAUUUUUGUUGAAGUAUGUUAAUGUUUUGUUGAGGUAUGUUGA